CGUGCGGUGAAGCUUUUCUUGUUUAAAGCUCAAUUUCUCUAUGACCACUGAAGUAGUCAUCCUGAUGCAUUUUUGCCAUGAGCAUGUUUAGACCACUUUCAUUUUUAAAAUCGUUUCUCUGACAUAUUCCACAGGAUCAGCUGAGAUGUUAUUUCACUGAAUUAUUUAAUUGAUAGGCUUAUUUGGCAUAUAUUUGGAUAUCUCUGUCAUCAACAUGGAAGAUAUGUUUUGUUCCUAACUAUCUAUAAUCAAUUCUCUGUGAAGUUCAGACUGUCUGCUCUUCCUUUGGAAAUACACAGUUAGUCAAACAACAUAGAAACACACAA
This is a long non-coding RNA of Saccostrea cuccullata (small rock oyster), 326 nucleotides long. RefSeq lists it as uncharacterized. The transcript is spliced from 3 exons. Lineage: Eukaryota; Metazoa; Mollusca; Bivalvia; Ostreida; Ostreidae. The record is from RefSeq and is a predicted model, not a curated record.